AUUGCGCCGGGCCUCGCUGCUCCACGUUGAAUCGGCUUCGCUCUGCCCCCCUCCCUCUGCAGCUGAACAUUUCUGCUGUUGCAUCAGAGUUUCCCACACUGCACCUGCAGCAAGCGUCCGGUCCGAGACCUCAAACGGGCGCUUUGAAGCCGAGCGGGAACCGCCGUUUUAACUGACUCCAUCUUGUCCAGAUGAAAGCGGGGAGAGCGUCAGGUUUUCACAAACACAGAUCAGGCAGGUCUUUCCCACAUCGGAGAGGCUUGAUUCAUUAGGACAGCGCGUCUCUGGAGGGAAAUCUCAAAGGGUCUGAUGGUCUUUCCCACAUCGGAGAGGCUUGAUUCAUUAGGACAGCGGGUCUCUGGAGGGAAAUCUCAAGAGGUCUUCUAAUGGUGCGAGUGACUGAAAAACACUCUGCGAGGAAAAAACCUGAAGAAAGACAACACUUCCUUUUUCCUCCCUCUUUCAUUAAAAACAAAUGAGCUCUCCCUGUCAACAAAGUGCCAUAAGCGCUCCACCAGCGCCACCAGCAGCACCAGCAGCAGCCUGGGGAAUUCCCAUUAAAGGCGUUUGAGGCCGAAUCGGCCUACAAAUAAACGCAGUGCUCCUGGGAAAUCACGGCAACAAGCAGAUACAUGUUAAAACUCGGGAGAGGCUUCCCCAAAAUCCAGAUGUGGUUCUCCGGCCGUCCUCGCCGGUAAUGAACCAAUUAGAGAGACAAUUAUGAACACCUGUGACGCUGAUUGGCACGGCGCGGCCGCGUCUCCUUCCGCGGCGCUAAAGACGCACCGAAUGUUGCUAAAGUUAACCUUUAACAAGGCCUGUAAUGAUGACGAG
Poecilia reticulata (guppy) is the source of this 834-nucleotide non-coding RNA. The record is from RefSeq and is a predicted model, not a curated record. NCBI's taxonomy places the organism in Eukaryota, Metazoa, Chordata, Actinopteri, Cyprinodontiformes, Poeciliidae.